This 245-nucleotide ribosomal RNA is filed under the name uncultured bacterium. RNAcentral describes it as "partial 16S ribosomal RNA". It matches the Rfam family "Bacterial small subunit ribosomal RNA", at positions 528 to 772 of the family's 1533-position model. The record is from RNAcentral.
UAUGGAGCAAGCGUUAUCCGGAUUUACUGGGUGUAAAGGGAGCGCAGGCGGUGCGGCAAGUCUGAUGUGAAAACCCGGGGCUUAACCCCGGGACUGCAUUGGAAACUGCCGGACUAGAGUGCCGGAGAGGUAAGUGGAAUUCCUAGUGUAGCGGUGAAAUGCGUAGAUAUUAGGAAGAACACCAGUGGCGAAGGCGGCUUACUGGACGGUAACUGACGCUGAGGCUCGAAAGCGUGGGGAGCAAA